Molecule: long non-coding RNA, 671 nt
Organism: Daphnia magna
Lineage: Eukaryota; Metazoa; Arthropoda; Branchiopoda; Diplostraca; Daphniidae
Exons: 2
Source: RefSeq, a predicted model, not a curated record
GUAAAUAAUAAAAAUACACGAAAGAAACAAACAAAUCAAAGCGGCAGCCCCACGGAAAACCACACUGUGUACAUCAGGAAAAUGUGGGAGCGGAAAGCAGAAAGACAUAGAAGGAUGUAAGGGUGAAGAGAGCCAAUCAGAGGGCCGGGAUAGUCCCACUGGGAUGUACGGGUGACGGUCUCGACCCUUCGAGACCGUCUCGCGGAGACCAAGUUGACAAAACAGUGGGCGUUUGCAUUUUCGUUGUUCAUUGCUUUCGUGCAAAAUUGCGAACAUCAUGCAAAGGUUUCAGGAAUUAAUGUUGGUCGCAUCCAUGUAAUCAGUGAUUGCACGCCCAGAAAAAGAAAAAGAUGGUGUAAAAACAUGAAAUAAGUAAUGAAGAAUUUUUAAAACAUCUAUAACAAUUGUGGCAAAGGAAAGAGUGCAUGCUGUUUGGCAUCAUCACACUGGCUGAACGAGUUGUCUUUUCCAAUGAAAUGUCACAGAUAGAAUCUAUUAACUGGAAACAAUAGAAGAAGUCUCUUCCAAAAGACACCUGUUGUUAUAUCCAAUGGCUGUCUAUCCUGCAAACAAAAGAAAUAAGAGGUACAACAUUUCAAAAAUCAAAUCUAAAAAAACAAACUAAAAUGAAACGGCUUGAUCUCUAAAAUAUAAAGAAGGCAGAGAUAUGA